Molecule: ribosomal RNA, 171 nt
Filed under: Phaeoclavulina arcosuensis
Lineage: Eukaryota; Fungi; Basidiomycota; Agaricomycetes; Gomphales; Gomphaceae
Description: partial 28S ribosomal RNA
Rfam family: Eukaryotic large subunit ribosomal RNA
Source: RNAcentral
UCAAAUCAGGUAGGACUACCCGCUGAACUUAAGCAUAUCAAUAAGCGGAGGAAAAGAAACUAACAAGGAUUCCCCUAGUAACGGCGAGUGAAGCGGGAAGAGCUCAAAUUUGUAAUCUGGCGGCCUCAGGCCGNCCGAGUUGUAGUCUGGAGAAGNGUCUUCCNGCUNACG